This 397-nucleotide ribosomal RNA is filed under the name uncultured bacterium. RNAcentral's name for it is "partial 16S ribosomal RNA". It matches the Rfam family "Bacterial small subunit ribosomal RNA", at positions 523 to 918 of the family's 1533-position model. The record is from RNAcentral.
AUACGUAGGUGACAAGCGUUAUCCGGAUUUACUGGGCGUAAAGGGCGUGUAGGCGGUCUUGCCAGUCAGAAGUGAAAUUCCCGAGCUCAACUCGGGCGCUGCUUCUGAAACAGCAGGACUUGAGUGCUGGAGGGGAUAGCGGAUAUCCUAGUGGAGCGGUAAAAUGCGCAGAUAUUAGGAAGAAUACCGGUGGCAAAGGCGGCUAUCUGGACAGUAAAUGACGCUGAGGCGCGAAAGCGUGGGGAGCAAACAGGAUUAGAUCCCCUGGUAGUCCACGCCGUAAACGAUGAAUACUAGGUGUAGGGGGUAUCGACUCCCUCUGUGCCGCAGUUAACACAAUAAGUAUUCCGCCUGGGGAGUACGGCCGCAAGGUUGAAACUCAAAUGAAUUGGCGGGG